Molecule: long non-coding RNA, 15490 nt
Filed under: Citrus sinensis (sweet orange)
Lineage: Eukaryota; Viridiplantae; Streptophyta; Magnoliopsida; Sapindales; Rutaceae
Description: long non-coding RNA (CSIN_LNC001825)
Source: RNAcentral
GUUUUUUUUUUUUUUAAUACUGAUUAAUCAUCAGAUUACUGCAUUACACAGAUAUUUACAACAACUGCUUAUUGUAGCAGAGAUAUUACACUGAUAUUUACAAUCAGAUAUACAUGAUUGGGACUUACAUUAUUACAAUGAAUUCUAUGAAGUACAUGCCCAGACAAAUAACCCCUCACAGGAGAGGGAUGUCCAUACUCCACUUGCAUUUUGCAAGGGAGAAGGAUUUUUUAAAUAUAAAGAACAUUUAGCCCCCACAAAAGCUUUGUAGGGGCUAGAACCGCUGCCCUCACAAGUAUUGUGUUGUGAGGGCAGCAGCCCACCACUUCGGCCAAGGCCGAAGCGGCGCACUCUGUUAAAAUAGUUGAGUGGUAAACUGCAACUCUCACAAGUUACCAUUGUGAGAGCUGCGAUUUAAGUUCUUAUAGCAGAUUUCUAUUUCUUCUUCUAAUUAAAAAUUGGGUUUAAAAAUUGGGUAUAUAUUAGAAUCUCUCCUGUUAAUUAAAUGCAGAACAGAUGUCUAAGAGCUGUAAUUUAAGUCACCAGAAAAGACUUCUAUUCCCAAUUAAAAAUUGAGUAAAAAUAAGUUUCUAUUCUAUUAAAUGGUGAGUAUUGAGUAGAGCAGAUGGGAAAUUUGUAACCUACCCCCAAAUAAAUUGACAUUUUGCACCACGCCCCCAAUUCCAUUAUUUUAUCAGUUAAGUUUAACGGUGGAGGGGUAAAAUUGAAAGUUUAUUUCUUAAAUUAAUUUUAAUGGGAAUUCUCUUUAUUGUAAUUAAAAUAAAAAUCUUUAAAAAAUUAAAGAAAAAAUAAUAGUGGUGACAAUGAACAUGUAAGAAGAAUUGUUUUUUUUAUUGCAAUUGAAAAAAAAACCUUAAAAAAUUAAAUGAGCUAAAAAUUUUGUUUUUUUACAUAGAGGGGCAUUUUUGUCAUUCAAUCAAAAGUUAAACGGAGCCGUUAAACUUAACUAAGAAAAUAACGGAAUUGGGGGCGUGGUGCAAAAAUGUCAAUUUUUUUGGGUGCGCAGUGCAACAAGUCAAAUUUGUUGGGGACGCGGUGCAAAAUGUCAAUUUAUUUGGGGGUAGGUUACAAAUUUUCCUAGAGCAGAUAUUCAAUAUAUGAUGUAAAUAUUAGUACGUAUUAAUAAUUUUAGAGAAAAUGUUAUUUUUAAGUUUAAUAAAUAAAAAAACAUGCGCGAUACAUGGUGUUAUUGAUUAAGCAAAUGAUCACUUAGGCUUUAGGAAUAAAAUUUGAUGCUUUGAACUUUCAAAAUCUCAACUUUGUUCAUUACAUAUGACUUUUUAUCAUUCAUGAGCUUGUAGAGGUAUUAUAAACAAUUAUAAUAAGUAAUAAGCUUACAUGGGGGCAAUAUAAAGUUUGCAUUCAAAUUGAUGAUGUGGUAGAUGAUAUGAUUUUAUUUCGUGAGGUCAUUUGAUAAUGGAUUAUUAACUCGGAGUUUGGCAGUUUUCUGCUUAUUUAAAUCAAUAUAUAUAACUUGUUUUCAACUAUAUGUAUAGUAUUCAAAGAUAUGUGAGCACAAACAUUUAAGCGAAAAUAGAUAUAAAUGAGUUAUUUAUUUGAUAUUUUAUCUUAAAAUAUUAAAUAAUGGUUAUUAGAAUUUUUUUUUCAAAAUUAACAAAAAGUAUAAAAAAAUAUCUUAUUAUUAAUUUUUUAUUCAUACUGAAACUUAUAUUUGUUAUUUUUAGUAUUUAAAUCUUUUAUUCUAUUUUCAAUUUAUAUGAUUUAUUCAGUUUAUAGUUAAAUCAAUAAAGUGUACUUGAAAAUAAGGAUUAUAUUGUAAAAUUAUGGUACCAGUGAGUCAUUAGGUAUUAUGAAAAUAAUAGGGAGUAAGUGAUAGAUAUUGAUUUCAGUGUAAGAAAAUUGACAAUUUUCCUUAUUAAUUCUUAUCAAUUAUUAUCUGAAUAGUGAAUUUGUAUUUACUAUCAUAUUAAUUCAAAAUCAAAUUUUAUAUUCUAACUUUAUAAAUAUAUUUAUAUUUUUACCCUUUAAAAUUGUUUUGAACGCUCAUUAAAAAAAAUUAUUGCCUAAUUGGCUUUCAAGGAAAUUACUUAGAUGGCCAUAACAAAUGAAUGAACAAUCUCUUUAUUUUCCGUCAAGUGGUCAGCUCUUGUACAUACUGCAUGGACUUGAGAAGGUGACAAAUUGACCACACACCGACAUUAUUUUAGGCAUUGUUGCAUAGGCCACGUCAAAGCCGUUGAAUUUGAAGCGCACAAAUCCAAAGGCCCAAAAAUAGCCACGUGAUGCUAGUUAAUGGAGAAAGUGACAGAAUCGACCGUAAAUAAAAGAGCAAAUUGGCAAAGGAAACACCGUGAGGUUAAGAGAGACAGCCAGAACAGUUGAGGAAACUACUUCUGCAGUACUGUAAGCGGAAAAAAAAGAAAAAAAAAAAGACGUACGAAUCAAGCAUUUUAUCUAUUGAUAUCGCAGAGCCUUGCAACAAACGUUGCAGAAAUUGGAUUAAUAAAAAUCAAACUUUAAGAUCUAUGAUCCUAUGCUCCAAUAAUAAUAAUAAUAAGGGUUAUUAUUAUUUUAUUACUUUAAAAAUUAUCAAAUAUCAAAUAACUACAACAAAUAUUAUUUCCUAUUAUUUUCUUACUAUAUCUUUAUAAAAAUAGCAUUUUACUACUUUUCUGUUAUAAUCUUGACAAACAAAAUACUAAUUUCACUCUUCAUGAUUAAAAAAAAAAUACUUAAAGCUUAUUUACAAAAUAAAUUUGUAAUAUAUUUAUUAAAAUGGAUAUAAAACACCAACAUAAUUAUUUUAACUGGAAUUAUGAUAUAUGGAUUAAAAAUUUAUCUUAUUAUUUUUUUAAUCAUGAAGGGUAAAAUUGAUAUUUUAUUAGUCAACUAACGGGUCAACUAACGGUUGUAAUGAAAAAGUAGUAAAAUGAUAUUUUUAUAAAAAUAUAAUAGGAAGAUGAUAGAAGACAACACUUGUUGUAGUCAUUUGAUAUUUGGUAAUUUUUGAAACAGUGAAAUGAUAAUAACUCUAAUAAUAAUAAUAAAGAUAUAUGAUUGACCGACUAAGACCGUAACCCCCUUCAAUAAUGUAUUUACUCUUUUCAUCCAUGCUCGUUAAAUUAGAUUGUUUCAAAUCUAACGGCUCAUCCAAAAAUGAAAAAAAAAUACAAGUUAAAUACAAGGUGUUUUUUUUCCCCCAAAUAGAUUCUCAUUAUUGCAAGACAAAAUUUCAAAAUAAACAAGUUAAAUGUUGUAGAAAAUCUUCACCUGUAUAAGAUAAUAAUAAUACCUAAAUGUGAUUUUUAACCAAAGCAUCAACUGCUCUAUUAUAAUUUUUAGAAACAUGGUCAAUCUUGAAAUCUUACUAAAUUAACAGUAGAUACUUCUUAUAAUUAUUCAAAAUAGCUUAAUACAAAUACAAUGAAUACGAGGUUAUUUGUCCUUGUUACUAGAUAGUGAAGCCUUUGAUGCAUAAUAAAAUGUUAAAAAAUAUGAAUUAACAUAAUAAGAUCAAAGACAAGAACUAUAUAUGCAUUUGUACUAUUAAACAAUUUUAUUUGCUAAAGUUUGUGUACUUGUUAAGACCUUGAAGGAUUUUAUAAAAAUAUUUAAUUGGAAAAUGUAUGUUUCCCUUUCACUUUUUGAGGAAAACAAUUUUUUUUUCUUUUUUAAUUGAAGGAAAGAAAAAUCAAGUCUAAACGCAGUAUUACACUCUUUAGAAACAUACAUUUUCCAAUUAGAAACAUACUCUUUAGAAACAUGGCCAAUCUUGAAAUCUUGCUUCAAUAACAGUAGAUGCUUCUCAUAACUAUCCAGAAUAGCUCAGUACAAAUACUAUGAAUAUAAGGUUAUUUGCCCUUUAUAUUAGAUAGUCGGGCCGUUGCUGCAUAAUAAAGUGUUAAAAUAUAAAUUAACAUAAUAAGAUCAAAGACAAGAAGUAUAUUUGCAUUUGUAACAUUAAACAAUUUUAUGUAGUUAUUUAUUUUUUAACUUCGAUCUUAUACGCAAUUAAUUUGCAAAGUUUGUGUAUUUGUUAAGGGAUUUUAUAAAAAAAUGUCUCGUUGAAAGAUGCAUGCACCCCUUUCAAUUUUUGAGGAAAACAAUUUUUUUUUAAUUGAAGGAAAUUUUUUUUAAUACAAUAAAAGUCCAAACAUAUUAUACUCUCACAACUACAUGAGAAUACUCAAACUCUCCACUUUAAUAUUAAGGAGAAGAGUGAUUGACCAAUAUUACCAAGGGAUCAUUACCAAUAAAAUAAAAAAUUACAGACCCUAAAAUGUAACUUUAAAGAAUAAUAAUAGAGUUAUAAAUUCUUAUAUAAGUAAUUUUUAUACAAAUUGAUAUGGUAUAAUAUCAUUGGUUGAGUAAAUAUAUAAUAUAAUAAAGAUAAAUCAUGUGGACAAUGUGUUGGUUUCAUUCAACCAACUAUGUUACAAAAUUAAUAUAAAAAUUUAUAGAUGUAUCAUUACUCUAUUUUAAGCGAACACAUUAAAAAAUCAAAAGCAACUUUGAGAUCAUAUCACUAAAAUGGUCCGAUUAAUAAAAAUGUAUAUACCACCAAAAAUGACCAUUAAAAAUUAAAGCAACUAUAUUACCUAUAAAAAUGACAAAAUUAUUAUAAAUGACCACCGUGAAUAAUGACUGCGUCAUUAAAAAUAAAAUAAGUUAAGAGAACAUUAGAACACGUGCAGGUCAUUUUAUUAUUGUUGUUUAAAUGUUAUUUAUCGCGAUAAAAUACCAAAAUUGCCCUUAUACCUAUCGCUAGAUUCACAGGUCUGGUUAAAAUUAAACCAUGGUUAGUUCACUCACGUGAUUAACUAACCCUACUGUUACUGCGAUGCUCUAAUAAUGAGCGCCCCCACACCGGCUUGAAAAAAAAAAAUUCAACAAUAAACUAAUAAUAAAAACAUAACCGUGGUUUGAUCAGUCACGUGAUUAACUAACCUUAUUGAAUGUAACUCAAUACUCUCUAAUAAUAAGCGCCACCACACCGGCGUUAAAAACAAAAAAAAUUGCAACAAUAAAAUAAUAGAAAACAUAUCAGAAUAAAUAAUGAUAUAAUUCAACAAAAAUUCAACGUCGUUAAAGAUUCCGUUAGAUUGAUGAAGUCCGUGAGGUGAUAAAAAUUUGCCACGGGCGCAUGCUAACUUGAUGAUAGACGGGUGUCGACGGUUCAAAGGAGGAGUAAUCAGGACCGUUUGAUUGAUGAUUGAUGGUCACGAAUGCUCGGUGUGGAACCGAGAGUAUGAAAGAGGGGUAUAAAACUGGUUUUAAAAGGGAGAGAGAAUUUCGUUUAUCAGAAGAAGGAAGGAGAGCACUUUGUGUUGUUUGUUCUCUCUCUGGUUUCUCUGCGAAUUUUCAUUCACUUUCUUUCGUUUUCUCAGAAGCCAAACAGACUACUUUGGCUGAGAAUUGACGAGAAUAUGAUAACGGAAUGUUGAGAAUCUGAAUCCAAUAGAGAGAUAGAGGAGAUUUAGAGGUGUGUAUUACCAACACACUUUUGUUUUUCAUUAUUAAGAAGAUCAAUUUAAAAAAAUUGGCCGGUAUAAUUGUUGUUUGGUUCAUGCUUUAGUUUACAGACAAAUUCAAAAUGACAAAAGACGACAUGGUUCAGUUGGCUUAGUGUUAAUUCCGUAUAAUUCAUCCUCUGAUAUAAUCAUUUUAUUUGUUUUGCAGAUACAUUUCUUAAGAGAAUAGAGAAAUUUCUGUAAGGGGAAGAUCAUAAUCUCUCAUUAGAGCAGGAGAUUUUCAAGUCUUUGAAAUGCCAAUCAUUUCGCUGAGAAGCUGAUAUACAUUCGAUUUGUAUUCUGCCGACUGAAAGAAGCAAAAAAUCGGCGAAUUUGAGAUAUUGGAGGUAUAAAAAACAAGCAUAUCGAUUUUCAUCUCGUCGAUUUAACUCGGGACCGGUUCUCUUUCAUUUCAGUUUUGAAUCGGUUUCCACUUGCUUCUUAUUACGAAGCUUAUACUUAAGUUCGACUCCGAUUCUCGUUUUUUCAGCUGUUUGGCUCUGGCGAGAAUUCAUCAUUAGCGUCUACAAGAAAUUUCAGUUCCAUGAAAAUCUUGACUUGUUAUUGAUGAAAUAUUUUUUUCGUUUUGAUUUUUGUUCUUUUGACCAUCUCUCAGUCUCGUCUUAUUCGAGCUUUAAAAUUUUUGUCAGUCUCGUCUUAUUUUGAGUUUUAGCUGUGGUUGCUUCUCAGAUUUUUCUCAAAUUACCUACGUUUGGUUACUGAGAAAGAAAGCAGAGAGAAAAAUAACAUCUCAGAACUUCUUUCCAUUCUCGAAUUGAUCUCUAGAACCAACGAAUUGGUUCUGAUUGUUGCAAUUCACGAUCCUUCUUUAUUUUCUUUUUCGAACAUUUUCUCGGCAGCCGAGCAAAAGCAUGGAGCUUGAGAAAUUUUUUCUCCGCUUUCUAUGCGUAUUCUUCGUCAGAUCCUCUGGAGUGAGUACGUCUGUGAUCUAUUUUUGAAUUAAAAUUCUCAUUUUCACUGCUGAUGACUAUUACAGCAUCACUCGGUAGAGAAUUCUGCAUUUUUUCAUUUUGAAAAAUCCUUGGCUGUCGGAUCUUCCUCUUCCAGUCUUCGGUCUUCCUCAGUAUUCAAUAUUUUUGUUGCAUUUUAAUAUAUGUGAUUCUUAUGGUAAGCCUACUUUUCUUCUCAAAAUUUGGGAAAAUUCUUAGCCGUUACUCUAAAAUUUUAAUUUUAAUCAUUCGUUUUAAAUGGCGUGGAAGUUGCCGGAAAGCCGAAGCCGUAUCCAAAUUGUUCAUUUUGUUUUUCUUUUUUAGUAUAAUUCUGCAAGUUAACCGUAAUUUAGGAUGAGUAAUUGUAAUUAACUUAUCUGAAUGGGACAGGUUUGCGAAAGGAGAUGGAUAAGGACUUGUUGAGAAGCGGUAAUAAUGGGAGCACUUGCAAAGAUGGGGGAUUAUUAAGAGCUAGCUCAGAGAUCAACACUAGGCAAACGGCGUCGUCUGAUUUCGUCUUACAGUGGGGGAACAGGAAGCGACUCCGGUGCAUGAAAGUUCAAGUCAAAGACGAUUCGUCCGCUUCGGCCCAUCGGACGACGGUUCGAGUCGUAAGAACCGACAAAGACACGUCCAAUCAGCCGAGUACUGCCACCGCUAACCAUAAUAUUGGUAACGGUUAUUUUAAUCUCCGUCGACGGCCAUCUUCGCCUCCGCCACCGCCACCGCCACCUCAGCGUGUGCUCAGGUAAUAACUCGGUAUCAUCGUUUGUUUGAUUUUAUGUUUGAAUAAAAACAGAGAUUUGUAUGCUUAUUCUUACGGCGCGUAUUAAACACUGUCGGCUGAGAUGGUGGAUCUUGUUUUUAGCUGUGGGGUUGUUCGCACUGAGGGCCUGAGCCUGAACCUUCGCUGGUGUUUGCGAGGCAACUGUAGUGUUGUGUGUAUGACGUUUAGAUAAUUGAAUGGGUUGCGCGUGGGCCCGUGACGCGCUUUGUGUCCGUGUUCGCAGUUUAGUGUUAGCUCCUUUAUUGUUCGAUUUCUAUAAUCCACAUUGGCGCGGAAAAAGAUUUCGAUCUGCUCUCUUUGAUGGGUCCCUUUUUACCCUUUAUCUUUAAUUAAUGGUUUUCUGCCGCAAGAAAUAUGUUUUACCGUGGUGAAUUAUAUUUUCUUCUUCAAUUGAAUUGGUGUUUAUGUUAAAUUAAUGUUGAAGAAAGAUAGUUGCCCUUUUCAGUAAUAGCAUGAAUUUGGAUCACCUUUAGUCAUUAGUCGCUGUUGGUACACGGUCACUGUCGACAUAAUUAGUUUGUGUAAUAUCAGUAAGCCCGGAGUCAUUCUGCAUUUCUGCUGAUAUUAUUAUUAUAUUUUAAAUUCCAAUUGCAGCCUUUAUGCUUGUUUUAUAAAAUUGGAAAUAAUUAGUUCAUAGUCUGGGAUAGUAUGUCCCUUGGUAUUGUACUAUGGUUUGAUACAUUUGUCUAUUUCUGGUAGUGGAGUGGACUGUUCCAGGAAUAGAUAAUAUCAUAUGAAUACUAAGCUGGCGUCUGAAUCUUGAUGCCUAAUAACAUUUCAGCAUCAAAUUAUUUUGCUUUUGCUGAAGUGGAGGUUAGUUGGAUCUACUUGUUCAUUACAAGAUGAACUUUUAAACUUCCAAAAUUGGGGCUGAGUACUUACUUAUGAGGCUUAUACUUGUCCAUUCACUAAUUGGUCAGGUUGGUGCAAAUCAGAACUCAGGAGAGCUGAUGCCUGAUGGUGAGUUCAUAAGGUCAGGGUGUCCUUAUAUUUACUAUUGCUUUAGUUUCUAGGAUUUGAGUCUUGCUAAAGUGGGUUGCCCAUGUCAUUUCACGAUCCUUAGAAUCUAAUAGUCGCGUUUGAAGUGUGUGAUCUAUAGAUAAUGCACUUGAGAUUUGGGGAUAGUUUCACUUAUUUAUAAAUUUGAUUAGUUUCUAGACUUUAGCAUAUAAUUGGUGAAGUUUUAGAUGGUGCAUUCUCCCAAUAUUACAUUUACUGAUUUACAUUCUUAAUUGGGAAAUUGGCUGUAAUCUUUGCUUUGUUAUUUGACUGAUCUGCGGCUGCUAAUUGUAGUUUUAUAUGGGGUUAUAUUUUUAUUGUUCUCGUUAUAAAUUGACAUUCUUUAGAACGUUUUUUUAUUUUUUAAAAUCUCAAAUUGCUUCUUUUGCAGAAGAUAAAAAUAAACUGAUCAACUCACAUUUUUCCUUUAUUUUUUGAAUAAAAAUGAGGGUAAUUUGAGAUUUUGAAAAGUGAUGAUUUGAAGAUAGUUAAGUCUCACAAUUUAUGUUUUAUUCUUUUCUUUUUCUAUAUUGCAAUCUUAUUGGACUGAUUUUGUUCAAAGUUGUGCAAAAGAAGAUUAGGUUGAUUAGCAUUCCUAAUCAAACUACUCUUCUUACUCAAUUGUGCUACUCUUGACCUUUUGCAUUUGCCUAGAGGGUAGCCAACUUGUCUUGAGUUCAUCACGCCUGAUUUUAGCCCAUAACGCUGCCAAAGCGUCCUCACAUGGUGGACUCGUUGGAACUUGGAACUAGGAAACAUGGAAUUAGUAAGUUCCUGCCACGCGUCCAAUGAUGCCCAAGUCUAAUCUCAACAAAAUUUCCGCCGUCGAUUGUAAUUGUAUUAGGAAUCUGGUCCACUCUAUCCUACAUGCCAACCCAUCCAUCAACACGUAGCCCAUACCUUAGAAAAGGAAAAUGAAUCCAACGGCCUACAAACCGCCCAUAGGACCAGCUGUGCUCGUUAGAUCGAGAUUAGAAUCAAAACUAUUUUUCUCAUGGCAGCCAAGUUAGCAAAUAUCAACACUUCCUAUUUGUUUAAAAAGCGCAAUCCAAAGUCUCUCCAAAGAAGCCAAAAGAAAAAAAGAACUCACCGUAUAUGACUUUCUUCUCAAAUUUAGCCCGACUUUACUUGAUCACUCCCAAGGUUAUUUUCGUACUUGCAUAAAAAUUCACUUCAGCACAUCACUUUUUUCACUUUUUCCUUAACACUCUACUUGACUGUAUUAAAUUUCAUUUUUAUUUCACAUGUUAUGUCCAGUUAAUUGAUGUGUUGUUAUGUGUGUAUUGUUUGUUAGGAAUUCUGAGAAUUCAAGUGCCAUGAGAGGCCAAAGCAACGGUGGUGUGAGAGGUUUUGCUUCACCAGAUAGGGGUGCGCACGAUAAGAGAGGUACCCGUCACAACAAUCACAACCACCACAACAAUGAUUAUAACAAAUCAGGGGCAUCAUCGGAAACAGCUCAUGAUAGCAAGAAAGGUGGAUCCUCUUCCGCUAGUGGCGAGGCGGCGCCACCCGUGUGGCCCCCGAAAUUUGUGAUUGCUUUAACCAACAAAGAGAAAGAGGAAGAUUUCAUGGCCAUUAAAGGGUCUAAGCUGCCACAGAGACCCAAAAAGAGAGCAAAGUUUAUUCAACGCACAGUCAAUGUAAGCUUUUCUUAUUCUUUCCUUGUUUAAUCCUUCAUGAUAUCUAGACUUAUCUACGAUGUUGUUUUAGUUAUUUUAGAAUUUAGAUUUAACGAAUUUGAUUCUAGUUGCAAUUUAAUUAUCGUGAAUAAUCAUCUGUAGGAAUAUUUUAUUGGGGUACAACAUUUAGGAGCACAAGGUACAAUAGAUCUCUUGCGGCCUUUUGAUGAUAUUUUGGGAUGGGACACGGUUUUUAAGAAUGUAGCUGUUACUACAAAUAUGGUUGCUGGGUCGGACCCUGAUUUAUGUGAAACUAUGAUCUACUUUAUUAUUAUUUUUUUAUUAGUCUUCAAUUUUUGUUUUCGCUUAAAAAUAGGGCUGUGUGUAAAGUGACCAGUGAGAUAUACAUGUCCACGUGUCGGUAAAGGCGUGGACGUGUACCUAAAAAUGACCUGUAGUAACGUUAGCCUCCCAGUGACCGAGUCCUGGUUUGGGUGCGGGAUGUAGAAUAAAUUAACAAAAAUCUGGGGUGGGAAUAUUACCCUUGCCCGAGUUUUGUGCUUUGAUAAUCAAAUUUCUCUUGAUUUAGUCGGAAAAUUCCAUUAAAGUAAUGGUACAUAUUUUAAAUCUUUUGUUUUUAAAAAUUAUUCUAAAUAAUGUGGCAUUCCGUAAUGCAGUAAUUCAUACUUUACUUCGUGGGGGAGAUAAUUGAAUAACAAGAGACAAUUGAGUUGUCAUUAAGUUUUUUCUGUUUUUGAUUUUUUUUAUGUUUAUGUUCCAAUUUAUCAAAAUCAAAUAUUCUUACGACCAAUAAGAGUUACUUAAGUCAAGAUUUUACCGUAAGAGAUUAUCACGGUAAUACCGCAAUUUUGAAUUUAUUUUACUUUUCUUGGCUACGGGGAGUUCUUUUUUUUUUUUUUUAAAGAAAGCGUUGAAAAUGUUGGAUAUGUGGAAAUGAGUAAUAAUAGAGUUAUAAUUACCUUCUAUAAGUAAGUGUAUAUAAAUCGAAGUGACGUGACGGAAUUAGUUAUAUAAAAUUAUUAUGGGUUUAUAUAAUUAAAAAUUAAUUAUUAUUAUUAUUAUUUUUAGCUAAUUUUUAUCCGUCAUUAAUUUGUAUAAAUUAUAAAAUCAUUCGUGGGUUUAUCAUUUUACAAGAAUAUGAGGGGGUAACAGAAGGAUAAUUUUUAAAAACGUUUGAGCUUGUUGCAAGUAGAUGGCGAGAAUUAGUUUAUUUGUAAAAAAUCUCCUACCGUCAAUUAAUUUUAAUAUUGACCGUUAGUUGACUGUGCAAAGACAAUAUUAUCCUUAACAAUAGUUUGUAGACGGAAAUAACUAAAAAAAAAUUAAAAUUAUUGGUUAUUUUACACUCUUUAAAUUAUUGAUAUUUUUUUAAAGUUUCUACAAAAAAGAUAAAAUUAAAAACUUGAAAAAUUUUCUUUAAAUUAUUGAUAUUUUCUUAAAGUUCCUACAAGAAAGAUAAAAUUAAAAACUUGAAAAUGAAAUAGUCAUAAUCUUUACUUAUGAUAUUAUAAAUCUUUGGAAUUGACAAGGAUAAUAUUGUUAAAAAUAGGGUUUGUGCUUUUCGCGCCAAUAAUUUUAAUUUUUUUUUUAGUUAUGUCAGUCUAAAAACUAUUGUUAAGGGUAAUAUUAUCUUUGUACAGUCAACUAACGGUCAAUGUUAAAAUUAACUGACAGUAGGAGAUUUUUUACAAAUAAAUGAAUUUUUGUCAUCUACUUACAACAAAUUUAAACCUCAAGGAAAGUUUUUAAAAAUUAUCCGGUAACAGAAUGCCUUAAACGUGGUACGUGGGGUCAACAAGGACGUGGUAGUACAGAGCUGGAAACUGUAUUUUUCUCUUGGUUUUAACUUUUAAACAUUAUGAGUGUCUCAGAUUGAGAUGGAGGGAUCAAUCUGCAACACGUGUACGAUGGCGAUUCAAUAGACAACACAAACUUAUCAACGAAGUAAGGUCCAAAUACUCACCAAAGGUAAUAAUAUUCUUCGUAAAAGUUUAACCGACGGAAGCGGAUGGGCCCUUUGCCCAUUAUUGUGGGGCAUUUCCGUAAUAUGGACAUUGCUUUUUGGUGAAUUAACUUUUCUUGUCUCUAAUAGUUUUUAAUGAUUAAUUUUCUCUUUAUUGAAAUAAUAUUUAAGAAUAAUUUAUAAUAAACAAUGGAGGUGGUUUCGUGACUCUUGUAGUGGUCCUCCAGGCUGGACCACACUGACAGUGCGUGGAGAGCAAAGAUUGCACGUAGUUUUUCGUCCAUAACUUUCUUAAACGCACGACUUGUAGACGAUUCUUUUUGCAAGUAGUUUUUUUCUUUUUGAGGUUGCAAGUAUCUUCUUGCUUAUGGUGGAAUUAUUUUUUUUUACAAAUUAAUUGAAAUCAUAACUGUUUUAAAAAAGCACAGGAAUCUCUCUUUAUUGCAUCCCAAUCAAAAUCAAAAUCUGAAAUUAAAGGCCAAAGUUGCAUUGAGUUUAUGUUUUUCUUUGCAGCUGGUAAGUCCCGGUGCAUGGCUAUGUGACCUGACCCUUGAACGUUAUGAAGUUAGAGAGAAGAAAAUCUCCAAGAAGGUACUUUUUGUAUUACAACUCCCCAAUUGGAGAAGCAUUUACAUUAAAAAUUAAUGGAGCAUAAUGUUUGUAUCGGGGAUCUAAUCUGAUGCAGAGACCGAGAGGAUUGAAGGCUAUGGGUAACAUGGACUCAGACUCAGAGUAGAGGAAGAGGAAGAUGAAUAGCUGUUGAUAGCUGUUGUUUUUUGUUUGUUGAGAAUAUGACAAAAUGUUGCUACCCUGUAAAUCGUUACCUUUCGUCCCUCCCUCUGAGAUGAAUGAAAGGAUAAAAUUUUAGCCAUAUCUUCUCUCUUCUCUCUUCUCUCUUUCUCUCUUCUCUCUUCUCUCUCUCGGUUAUUUUAUUAUUAUUAUUAUUAUAGAGGCAUCAGGCAUCAACACCUGUUUUUGUUUUGCUUAUAUUUUUCUUUUGUUUCAGCUUUAUUUAGGUGCUGGUUGACUGAGCUGGUCACGCUUUAGGCCCAGUAGUGGGCUACGUCCAUUUUGCUGGUUAACAAGUUAAAAGCUACUUUACCAACUUGGUAUAACCUGUCUAAAGUGGGAGUGACGAAUGUGCCACUAGCUUUGCUUAUAGACAAAGCAAGGCUAUUUUCGCACAUUACAAGAUGGUUGAGCUGAAGUUCAUGAAUAAGCUCAUUGGCUACUGGACAAAUAUGGAGUACUAAUAUAAAUUAUUUCUGCACAUUUUAUUGUGCAAAUUAAUACGAAGAGACCUACAUCAAUUAUUUUUUAAGUUAAAAAAUAAUCAAUUGCACAAAGCGUGCAACAAUAAUAUAAAGGGUUUCGAUUAUGUUGGAGUUUACUUACAGUGGUGUGUGAACUUCAGUCAUACAAUAAUAUAUAAGAGUUUGAUUAUGUUGGAGUUCACUUACGGUAGAGCGCGAAUCUCAAUCAUACAAGGAAAGUGAUGAAUAAUAAAAAAUGAGUUAUUUUUUUAUUAUUUAUUAUUUUACGUGUAAUUAAAAUUCGUAUUUUACCGUAGGUGAAUUCCAACAUAUCAAUAACCUAAUAUAAAAUGUCAUCUCAAACUGUAUUAAUGGAAUAAUUAGUGCUUGUUAAAGAGUUUAUAUUUCUAGAAUUUUUGAUUUAGUAUAUAAUUAUGUAGGGCAAAGCAAACGGGAAUCAACAAUUACGUGGUAGGGUCCACAAACCAACUAUAAUAUUCGUACAAGCUAAGCAAAUGUUGGGGAACUCCAGGUGGGGGGUUGGGUGGGGGCGAAUGAAAAGGGAGAACAACCUCAGCUCACCGGUCAAAUAAUACGUUGCAAAUCACGCUUAGCCAUUGAUUACAAAAGGAUGGUUGGGCCGAAUGAGUCAAUUUCGCAAAGACUGCCUUGUCCAACAUAAACUUUUCGAAAAUCAUCAUUCUGGCGACUUCUUCCAAGGCAUCGCCAAGUGUAAUGAUAUACCCCUAUAAACCAACAAAUUGAAUCAUUGCACAUUUGAUCCCCCUGUUGUUUUCUGUUUCACGAAGGUGCCACAGACCCGAUGACUUGGACUUGGAAUAAUUAAAAAAAGGCCAAAAAAAAAAAAAAUGUUCCUGUUGGUCAUGUUAAAGGCACAGAUUCCCCUUCUCCUCCAAUUCUCUCAUUCAUUGUCCUUUCGCACAAUUGCACAUGGGAAUGGGAGUGCAGAAGCCAAGGAGUAAGCGUGUCAGCUGUGCCUUGCCACUUGGGACUUUUUUGUUUAGGGAAGAUACGAAUUACUGUUUACAAGUGCAUUACUUUUACUUAUCAUCGAUUCUUGUGGGAAAUGUAUUUCCUCUUCUGUCGUCCGGCGAACGCGAUUCGAGUGAAAUAAAAUUAAAUUGAUUUACAUAAAAAAAUUAAAAGAAAAGCGGAUAGUGAAUGAUAUAUAACAUAACAACAAAAGGAAUAGCUUAAUAUAUACUGAUAAUAAUCAUAAGUCUCCAAAAUAACAAACAUAAAUCAAAUCAUAUCAUCACAUCUCCGUGAGCUACAAAGCAUAACUGAUAACUCUCUCUCAUUAUAAAAUUUAUAUGUAAUAAGACUCACUCCCUAAAAGACUAAAAACCCAGUGGAUCCGCCGCUACUAAGCCCACAUAACGUCUAAACAACGCAAAAAAAGAAAAAAAAAUGAAGAAACCACUCUACACACCCAAUAAGCUAGUGACACGUAAUCAGAUAGAGAACCGGCCUCUUAAACCCUGAGAACUGAGCCGAACACCAGAGCGGAAAGGAGAGCGACACCAGCGGCGGCUAAGGAAGGCGAGAUCGAGCCGGCUCCGGAAGCGGGAGCUGGAGCGGGAGAGAGAUCUUGAGCCGACCCUGCGAGAACCAAGGCGGCCAGGACAACGGCCAUCAUCAGCGUAGCCAUUGAAGCCUUUGAGAAUGCCAUUAUUGAAGCCUUUUUUUCUCAGGGUUUUUGAGAGCGUAACCGAAGGAAGCUGAGAGAGAUUCUUUUUCCUGUGUCUGUAUGUGGGAAGUGUUAGUAUUUAAGACAUGAGAAGAAAAUAGUGAGGUUUAUUUAUAGACUGAAAAGUGUGGACGGGAAGAGAGAAUUUCGGGCAGCGGCCCGGAUUUUUCCAGUCUGUCUAUUGGUUUCUUGACAGCUAUGUUUAUUUGUGGGGCCCAGUUAAUUAUAAUUUCACGCGACCGUUUAGGGUAUCGAACGGCGAAGCGACGUCGUGUCGGUUCACGAGUGUGACUUACGCCGAGGAAAUAAUUGAUUCUUUGGGAUUGGGAAAAAUUUGAGCAAAGUAAAAUUACGGAAACAGCAGCGAAUUAUAAUAUCGCAGUCUGUGAUAAACUUGAUAACUAUCUACUUGAAUUGAUAGGACAUAUAAAAAGAACAUUGUAUUAUUUAAAGGAUUGAAUAAUUUAAUUGAUAAAAAUCUCUUACCGCUAAGUUUGGAGAUCCAUUUGCACUCAAAUUUGGUGGAGGAAAAUUUUGAUUUCAGUUGUGUUAUGUUAUUAACAAAAAUUAUUGUUCAAAAAAUGCCUUUUUGUAGCUGCAAUAAAUGAGAAAAUUUUAAAGUACUUUUUUUUUAUUAUUUAUAUAAAUUGAACGAAAUCUUGGUGUGAUUAUUUUGUAAAUUCUCGAGAACUUUU